RNAcentral lists this ribosomal RNA (253 nucleotides) under uncultured bacterium. RNAcentral's name for it is "partial 16S ribosomal RNA". It matches the Rfam family "Bacterial small subunit ribosomal RNA", at positions 524 to 776 of the family's 1533-position model. The record is from RNAcentral.
UACAGAGGUCUCAAGCGUUGUUCGGAUUCAUUGGGCGUAAAGGGUGCGUAGGUGGCGCUGUAAGUCGGGUGUGAAAUUUCGGAGCUUAACUCCGAAACUGCAUUCGAUACUGCGGUGCUUGAGGACUGGAGAGGAGACUGGAAUUCAUGGUGUAGCAGUGAAAUGCGUAGAGAUCAUGAGGAAGACCAGUGGCGAAGGCGGGUCUCUGGACCGAGACUGACGCUGAGGCGCGAAGGCGUGGGGAGCAAACAGG